AUUACUUUAGCAUAUAAUUGUGUAUUAAAUUUAGAAUUUAAAGGUUUGUAUUUUAAAUAUGAAAGUAAUA
This 70-nucleotide transfer RNA is filed under the name Idris sp. MM-2013. RNAcentral describes it as "tRNA-Leu". Lineage: Eukaryota; Metazoa; Arthropoda; Insecta; Hymenoptera; Scelionidae. The record is from RNAcentral.